RNAcentral lists this ribosomal RNA (537 nucleotides) under Nosema sp. C PSH-2011. Its description in RNAcentral is "SSU rRNA". It matches the Rfam family "Microsporidia small subunit ribosomal RNA", at positions 1 to 594 of the family's 1311-position model. Lineage: Eukaryota; Fungi; Microsporidia; Nosematidae. The record is from RNAcentral.
CCAGGUUGAUUCUGCCUGACGUAGACGCUAUUCCCUAAGAUUAACCCAUGCAUGUUAUUGAUUUUUGAAAAAUGGACUGCUCAGUAAUACUCACUUUAUUUUAUGUAUACUUAUUAUAACUACGUUAAAGUGUAGAUAAAAUGUAUACAGUAAGAGUGAGACCUAUCAGCUAGUUGUUAAGGUAAUGGCUUAACAAGGCAGUGACGGGUAACGGUAUUACUUUGUAAUAUUCCGGAGAAGGAGCCUGAGAGACGGCUACUAAGUCUAAGGAUUGCAGCAGGGGCGAAACUUGACCUAUGGAUUUUAUCUGAGGCAGUUAUGGGAAGUAAUAUUAUAUUGUUUCAUAUUUUAAAAGUAUAUGAGGUGAUUAAUUGGAGGGCAAAUCAAGUGCCAGCAGCCGCGGUAAUACUUGUUCCAAGAGUGUGUAUGAUGAUUGAUGCAGUUAAAAAGUCCGUAGUUUAUUUUUUAAGAAGCAAUAUGAGGUGUACUGUAUAGUUGGGAGAGAGAUGAAAUGUGACGACCCUGACUGGACGAACA